ACACUGAGAGAAGAAAGAGUCAAUGAGAGAUCUGCAUAUAUCCAUAUUUACCUUGCUUUCACUCUCGGUUGGCUCAAUCAUAAGAGUUCCAGGGACAGGCCAAGACAUUGUGGGUCCAUGGAAUCCAUAGUCCAUUAGCCGUUUCGCCACAUCCUCUGGUUCUAUUCCAGCAGUGUUCU
RNAcentral lists this small RNA (179 nucleotides) under Arabidopsis thaliana (thale cress). RNAcentral's name for it is "ATSL234460". The record is from RNAcentral. Lineage: Eukaryota; Viridiplantae; Streptophyta; Magnoliopsida; Brassicales; Brassicaceae.